This 450-nucleotide long non-coding RNA is filed under the name Equus caballus (horse). RNAcentral's name for it is "lncRNA (ENSECAG00000044334.1)". Lineage: Eukaryota; Metazoa; Chordata; Mammalia; Perissodactyla; Equidae. The record is from RNAcentral.
UGGAAAACACUGAAUGAAUAGUUGCCUGGAACACCCAGAAAUCAAUUAAAUAUUUGAGAAUCAAGAAAGCAAUUCAGUGUCAAGAUGGCGGCAUAAGCAGACUCUGAACUCAUCUCCUCCCAUGAACACAGCCAGGUUACAACUAGUGUUGGAAAAAUUACCCUGGAAAGAAAACUGAAAACUGGAUAAAAAGAACCCCCACAACAAGGGACAGUCCUGACUAAGGCAGAAGAGGCAGAAAUUCCUUCUGGAGAGAAAAAAAGCCACCUUCAGGAGCAGCAGAUUUCCUCAGCCAGCAGGGCGGGAGCCUCCCUAAGGCAGGCGGGAGGAUCCACCUCUGUGGGGCAGGGCCUGUGUGAGGACCAGGUGAACUGUGGGGAGCAUUGGUGGAGAGGGUGAAUUUGGACACAGACACAGGGAAGACAAUGUGAAGAGACAGCCAUGUACAAG